Molecule: ribosomal RNA, 479 nt
Filed under: uncultured bacterium
Lineage: Bacteria
Description: partial 16S ribosomal RNA
Rfam family: Bacterial small subunit ribosomal RNA
Source: RNAcentral
GAUGAACGCUGGCGGCGUGCUUAGCACAUGCAAGUCGAGCGAGAAGUUUUGAAAAGAUUCUUCGGAUGAAAUUUAAAAUGGAAAGCGGCGGACGGGUGAGUAACGCGUAGGCAACCUGCCCCAUACAAAGGGAUAGCAUUUGGAAACGAAUAUUAAUACCUUAUGAAACUUAACUAGUGCAUGCUAGGUAGGUCAAAGAUUUAUCGGUAUGGGAUGGGCCUGCGUCUGAUUAGCUAGUUGGUGAGGUAACGGCUCACCAAGGCGACGAUCAGUAGCCGACCUGAGAGGGUGAACGGCCACAUUGGAACUGAGACACGGUCCAAACUCCUACGGGAGGCAGCAGUGGGGAAUAUUGCACAAUGGGGGAAACCCUGAUGCAGCAACGCCGCGUGAACGAUGAAGGCCUUUGGGUCGUAAAGUUCUGUUCUAGGUGAUGAAAACUGACAGUAACCUAGGAGAAAGCCCCGGCUAACUCCGUG